This 436-nucleotide ribosomal RNA is filed under the name uncultured bacterium. RNAcentral's name for it is "bacterial SSU rRNA". It matches the Rfam family "Bacterial small subunit ribosomal RNA", at positions 28 to 507 of the family's 1533-position model. The record is from RNAcentral.
GAUGAACGCUGGCGGUAUGCUUAACACAUGCAAGUCGAACGGGGGUAGAAAUACCCUAGUGGCGGACGGGUGAGUAACGCGUGAGAAUCUAGCUUCAGGUCGGGGAUAACAGAGGGAAACCGCUGCUAAUACCGGAUGAACCUACGGGUAAAAGAUUAAUUGCCAGAAGAUGAGCUCGCGUCCGAUUAGCUAGUUGGUAGGGUAAUGGCCUACCAAGGCGGCGAUCGGUAGCUGGUCUGAGAGGACGAUCAGCCACACUGGGACUGAGACACGGCCCAGACUCCUACGGGAGGCAGCAGUGGGGAAUUUUCCGCAAUGGGCGAAAGCCUGACGGAGCAAUACCGCGUGAGGGAGGAAGGCUCUUGGGUUGUAAACCUCCUUUCUCAAGGAAGAAGCAAUGACGGUACUUGAGGAAUCAGCAUCGGCUAACUCCGUG